GACGAACGCUGGCGGCGUGCUUAACACAUGCAAGUCGAGCGGUAAGGCCCUUUCGGGGUACGACAGCGGCGAACGGGUGAGUAACACGUGGGUGACCUGCCCUCAGCUCUGGGAUAAGCCUGGGAAACCGGGUCUAAUACUGGAUAUGACUCCAUGACGCAUGUUGUGGGGUGGAAAGCCUUGUGCGGCUGAGGAUGGGCCCGCGGCCUAUCAGCUUUGUUGGUGGGGUGA
This 231-nucleotide ribosomal RNA is filed under the name uncultured bacterium. RNAcentral describes it as "partial 16S ribosomal RNA". It matches the Rfam family "Bacterial small subunit ribosomal RNA", at positions 28 to 260 of the family's 1533-position model. The record is from RNAcentral.